GAAACGCGAUAGUUAAUGUGAAUUGCAGAAUUCAGUGAAUCAUCGAGUCUUUGAACGCACCUUGCGCUCCUUGGUAUUCCUAGGAGCAUGCCUGUUUGAGUGUUAUGAAACCUUCAACUCUACCAAUUUUCUCACGAAGAUUAGGUAGCUGUUGGACUUGGGCUUGCCGUUCACCUGGCUCGCCUCAAAAAUAUUAGCUGGAACCCUAUGCCAUAUUGGUUCGACUCGACGUGAUAAGUAUCUUCGUCGGGGCUUGAGAACUGAUUGCCAGUGCUGGAAAGUUCUGCUUCCAACUUCGUUGCGCAUGACUUCGGUUGUGAGCAUCACUAUUUAACGCUCUAGCCUCAAAUCAGGUAGGAUUACCCGCUGAACUUAA
Molecule: unclassified non-coding RNA, 376 nt
Filed under: uncultured Basidiomycota
Lineage: Eukaryota; Fungi; Basidiomycota
Description: sequence contains ITS1
Rfam family: 5.8S ribosomal RNA (bases 1-105)
Source: RNAcentral